AGUUUGAUUAUGGCUCAGAUUGAACGCUGGCAGGAUGCGCUACACAUGCAAGUCGAACGGCAGCACGGACGGUCUGGUGGCGGUGGCGAACGGGUAGGUAAUGUAUCGGAACGAUGCCUAAGUGGCGGGGGAUAAACUGCGCCAAGCGUAGCUAAUACCGCAUACGCCCUUCGGGGAAAGCGGGGGACCUUCGGGCCUCGCACUAUUAGAGCAGCCACGAUAUCCGGAUUCUGGCUAGUUGGUGGGGUAACGGCUCGCAAGGCGACGAUCCGUAGCUGGUUUUGAGGACAUUAAUACACUGGGACUGAGACACGGCCCAGACUCCACGAGGGCAGCAGUGGGGAAUUUUGGACAAAUAAGGAAACCUGAUCCAGCCAUCCCGCGUGUGCGAUGAAGGCCUUCGGGUUGUAGCGCUUUUGGCAGAAAAACUGGCACGGGAUAAUACCCGUGCAACUAUUGGCUCACCUGCAGAAUAUGCACCGGCUAACUACGUGCCAGCAUUGCUGCGGUAAUACGUAAGUGCAAGCGUUAAUCGGAAUACGGGCGUAAAGCGUGCGCAGGCGGUUCGGAAGAAGAUAUGUGAAAUCCCGACUUUCAACUUUGGAGCUGCAUUUUUAACUACCGAGCUAGAGUGUGUCAGAGGGAGGUGGAAUUCCACGCGUGUAGCAGUGAAAUGCGUAGAUAUGCGGAGAACACACCGAUAAUGAAGGCAACCUCCUGGGAUAACACUGACGCUCAUGCACGAAAGCGUGGGAGCAAACGGGAUUAGAUACCCUGGUAGUCCACGCCCUAGCGAUGUCAACUGGCUGUUGGGGCCUUCGGGCCUUGUUGCCGCAGCUAACGCGUGGGUUGGCUUACCUGGGAAGUACGGUCGCAAGAUUAAAGCAAAGGAAUUGACGGGGACCCGCACAAGCGGUGGAUGAUGUGGACAAUUCGAUGCAUGCGCAAAAACGCACCCUUGACAUGUGGAAUCACAGCGAAGAGAUUUGAUGCUCGCAAAGAGAACCGGAACACGAUUGCGCACCAUGGCUGUCGUCAGCUCGUGUCGUGAGAUGUUGGGUUACAGUCCCACGCUGCCAGGCGCAGCCAGCAACCAUUCGUUGCUACGAGGGCACUCUAGCCAGACUGCCGGUGACAAACCGGAGGAAGGUGGGGAUGACGUCAGUCCUCAUGGCCCUUAUGGGUAGGGCUUCACACGUCAUACAAUGGUCGGGACAGAGGGUCGCCCAACCCGAGGGCAAUCCCGGCCGAUCGUAGUCCGGAUCGCAGUCUGCAACUCGACUGCGUGAGAGUCGGAAUCGCUAGUAAUCGCGGAUCAGCAUGUCGCGGUGAAUACGUUCCCGGGUCUUGUACACACCGCCCGUCACACCAUGGGAGUGGGUUUUACCGAAGUAGUUAGCCUAACCGUAAGGAGGGCGAUUGCCACGGUAGGAUUCAUGACUGGGGUGAAGUCGUAACGGGUAA
This 1464-nucleotide ribosomal RNA is filed under the name uncultured Bordetella sp. RNAcentral describes it as "partial 16S-23S ribosomal RNA intergenic spacer". It matches the Rfam family "Bacterial small subunit ribosomal RNA". Lineage: Bacteria; Pseudomonadati; Pseudomonadota; Betaproteobacteria; Burkholderiales; Alcaligenaceae. The record is from RNAcentral.